GAUGAAGAACGUAGCGAAAUGCGAUAAGUAAUGUGAAUUGCAGAAUUUAGUGAAUCAUCGAAUCUUUGAACGCACAUUGCGCCCACCAGUAUUCUGGUGGGCAUGCCUGUUCGAGCGUCAUUUCAAGCCCCUAAGCCCUGCUGCUUAGCGUUGGGGACCGCUGUCAAAGGCGCCCUCUAAAGACAUUGGCGGAGUUGUCGAGGCUCUCAGCGUAGUAAUUCUUCUCGCUUCAGAGCACCGGCGGCGCCUGCCACGAGCCUAUUUCUCAAGGUUUGACCUCGGAUCAGGUAGGAAUACCCGCUGAACUUAAGCAUAUCAAUAAGUGGAGGA
This 330-nucleotide unclassified non-coding RNA is filed under the name soil metagenome. RNAcentral's name for it is "partial contains 5.8S ribosomal RNA, internal transcribed spacer 2, and large subunit ribosomal RNA". The stretch from base 1 to 120 matches the Rfam family "5.8S ribosomal RNA", at positions 35 to 154 of the family's 154-position model. The record is from RNAcentral.